RNAcentral lists this transfer RNA (85 nucleotides) under Thermoplasmata archaeon. RNAcentral describes it as "tRNA-Leu". It matches the Rfam family "tRNA". From Rfam's summary of the family: Transfer RNA (tRNA) molecules are approximately 80 nucleotides in length. Their secondary structure includes four short double-helical elements and three loops (D, anti-codon, and T loops). Further hydrogen bonds mediate the characteristic L-shaped molecular structure. tRNAs have two regions of fundamental functional importance: the anti-codon, which is responsible for specific mRNA codon recognition, and the 3' end, to which the tRNAs corresponding amino acid is attached (by aminoacyl-tRNA synthetases). tRNAs cope with the degeneracy of the genetic code in two manners: having more than one tRNA (with a specific anti-codon) for a particular amino acid; and 'wobble' base-pairing, i.e. permitting non-standard base-pairing at the 3rd anti-codon position. Lineage: Archaea; Methanobacteriati; Thermoplasmatota; Thermoplasmata. The record is from RNAcentral.
GCGGGGGUAGCCAAGCUAGGACAACGGCGCGGGACUUAAAAUCCCGCCUCGCAGGAGUUCAUGGGUUCAAAUCCCAUCCCCCGCA